AUUGAACGCUAGCGGGAUGCUUUACACAUGCAAGUCGAACGGCAGCACGAAAAGAGCUUGCUCUUUUUGGUGGCGAGUGGCGAACGGGUGAGUAAUGUAUCGGAAUGUACCCAGUAGCGGGGGAUAACUACGCGAAAGCGUGGCUAAUACCGCAUACGCCCUACGGGGGAAAGGGGGGGAUCGCAAGACCUCUCACUAUUGGAGCGGCCGAUAUCGGAUUAGCUAGUUGGUGGGGUAAAGGCUCACCAAGGCAACGAUCCGUAGCUGGUUUGAGAGGACGACCAGCCACACUGGGACUGAGACACGGCCCAGACUCCUACGGGAGGCAGCAGUGGGGAAUUUUGGACAAUGGGGGAAACCCUGAUCCAGCCAUCCCGCGUGUGCGAUGAAGGCCUUCGGGUUGUAAAGCACUUUUAGCAGGGAAGAAACGGCGCUGACUAAUACUUGGCGCAACUGACGGUACCUGCAGAAUAAGCACCGGCUAACUACGUG
This 492-nucleotide ribosomal RNA is filed under the name uncultured bacterium. RNAcentral describes it as "partial 16S ribosomal RNA". It matches the Rfam family "Bacterial small subunit ribosomal RNA", at positions 30 to 507 of the family's 1533-position model. The record is from RNAcentral.